This 21-nucleotide non-coding RNA is filed under the name Arabidopsis thaliana (thale cress). Lineage: Eukaryota; Viridiplantae; Streptophyta; Magnoliopsida; Brassicales; Brassicaceae. The record is from RNAcentral.
CAGAGGUGUUUACAAAGUCAC